CGGGGUAUAGCGCAGUCCGGUUAGCGCACCUGGUUUGGGACCAGGGGGUCGCAGGUUCGAAUCCUGCUACCCCGA
RNAcentral lists this transfer RNA (75 nucleotides) under Bacteroidota bacterium. RNAcentral's name for it is "tRNA-Pro". It matches the Rfam family "tRNA". From Rfam's summary of the family: Transfer RNA (tRNA) molecules are approximately 80 nucleotides in length. Their secondary structure includes four short double-helical elements and three loops (D, anti-codon, and T loops). Lineage: Bacteria; Pseudomonadati; Bacteroidota. RNAcentral also lists the same sequence under 4 other names. The record is from RNAcentral.